Long non-coding RNA from Lathyrus oleraceus (garden pea), 622 nucleotides. RefSeq lists it as uncharacterized. The transcript is spliced from 3 exons. NCBI's taxonomy places the organism in Eukaryota, Viridiplantae, Streptophyta, Magnoliopsida, Fabales, Fabaceae. The record is from RefSeq and is a predicted model, not a curated record.
AUCCAAGUAUCAAACGAGAUGGACCAAAUUCUGAGCAUCAAAAAAGGAAUUCUGCAGGAACGCUUCUUUUGGACAUCAAAGAUACCUUUUCAAACCCUAAUCUGUGAACAUAAAAGGGGAAGGGAGUUGGUGAGAGAAAGAAGGUGAGAGGCAAGCAACAGAAAGAGGAGGAGGCGACCACCAAAAGAAAACCUAAUACGAUAAAGGGGACGAACCUUUUUGCAAAAAACGGCGGGGAACUUUGAAACCUAACAAAGAGAGCUCAUUGCAAGCUAGCUGCCACCGCCGAAUCACAUCCAAAGGUUUUCACGUGAAAAGGGAAAAGAGGCAGAAAGGGCAAAAGGCAGAGCAAGAGAAGAGGAGGAGCUUGAAGCUGCGGAAUUUGCCGGAUUACUCAGGUAACGAGAAAUGAGUUGAGUAGAAGCAAUUGCUUGGAGUCUAGAGUAGUUCUUACGGGUCAUGCUCUGAUAGAUGUAACAUCGGGAGGGAAUGUUUUAAUUAAUUUGAUAUUGUUUGUUGAUUGAUUUACAUGUAUAGUGUUACAUGUUUUACAUUGAUGUUGAAUUGAUUCCGCUGCGAAUUAUGCAAAAGACCUUAUUUUGAUUUAAAUAAAUGAGCAUGA